CUGAUGACAGGUACUGUUUUUCUAUGGUGAUGAUGACCUUGUGUUCAGUGCUUUAUUCACUCUGCUUUUAGAAGUCUGAAGUGUAGCAGUUUUUUUGUGAGCUUUGCCCGACUCAUUAUUUUAUUUUUUGCCCCUCCGCCCAUGUCUGCAGAGCUGUGCUUUGUUGGCUGAAGAGAGGGGUGGCGUAACUUGAGAGCGGGCCAAAGAAGACUGAAGAGAGAGAGAAGCCAAAGCAAGGCCAGCAGAAGAGAGUGAGAGGAUCCUGUAGGUCCAACUUAGCCUCCUGAGCCCAGCCUGCUCAGAUGUGCUGUAUCUCUUGACCAGAGCUCCACCCAUCAACUUCCUGGAUUAAAAGGGAACGGCCACAGCCAACAAAGGUAAAAAGAACAAGGAAGAAGAACACAGGAAUUACAACAUGGCCCUUCCCGGUGUUGCCAGCCACCUCCUUCUCAUGGUCCAGAAUGGACAGACGGAUCAACACAUCUGGCUUGGAAGUCUGAAACUGAAUUGUUCCUAGGACGUCUGCCGUCACCUGCACAUUGUAACUGUGGAAAAAAAGUUUCAAAUGAUUGUGGGUACCAUUAGCCUCUCAGAGUACCCCUCAUGUUGUCUUAUGUUAAGAGCACAUACAUUACUAAACCUUAUAAGGUUUAGUAAUGUAUGUGCUCUUUGAAUAUUGUCACACCUUGUUUCUAAUUAUCAAACAUGCAUAUACUGUACUGCAAGUAAGAAUACGUUAGUUACUGGAUCAAAUUAUUUGUAUGAUACAUCCUCAGCAACAAUUAAUUUCAGUUGACCAGUAUAAAACCUAUGAUGAUUAUUCUACUUAACUUUUCAAUCAAAUCUAUGCCCUAUAAUUCUCUUACCGACAUAUGAGGUUUUUCUCAUUGGGAAUAUAAUAAUUCCGGAACUCCUUCACUGAGAAGGUGUUGAGUGGAGUCUCAUGGGACAGUUUUGGAAGGACUUCACUUGAGCUGAUCAAGCGCAUCUUCCACUUGGCACCAACAGGGGGUGAUUCAGGUGCGACAGCCUCUGCUACAAAGGUAUACCCAAGCUGGAACAAGAGAUACAGAGAGAUUUAACAAUAAAAUCUGUCUGUCUUUCACACUCAAUAAAGAGUGUGAAAGACAGAUGGAAAUAGGUUAAGCACAACAAGGAGAAAUGCUGAUUUACUGUUUUCUUUUAGGAUUUGUUUCAUGUAUAAUACUAGAAAUUAUUACACCAGGUAGCCACAGCUGGUCGCCAAACAGUCAAGUUUGUACCUAGUUUUCGAUUAAGUCAGGCAGGAAGCACAUAAAAUAUGUCAAGUAUGUGAACAUUUGAAGUGCAAUGACAGACCUUGUUAGGUUGAUAGACACUGGGUGCUGCUUUGUUGAAGACCAUGUCCAGCUCCUUUCCUGUGUCAUUAUUUACAAUGUGCAGCAGACAAUUAGGGAUUGGGCAGUAGACCUUUGGUACCAGCAGCAUCUCCUUAGGAACCAGGAAUACCUCUCUUAACAAACAACACAAGUAAAACCAAGUUAUAAAAGGUCUGACUAAAUUGUCAAGUAGUUUUCCGCUGUUUAUUGUUGAAAUUCUGAAAUGCCAUCUUACAUUUAUAUUAGCUUUACUGGCAGGAAUGAGAGUUCAGACAGUAUGACAUUUGGUGAGAAGGAGACAUCAGUAAUUUUACACCUGGAUUCACACACAUUUUCCAAACCAGGUUGGGAAUUCUCUUUUGCUGACAAUCCUAACCUUCAAGCUACAGUGUUCUCUAACCUAAAGACCAAAACCCAGGAAUCGGCUGUGUCUUGAAGAGGGACAGAGUAGUCAGCGAACGUUAUUCUAGUCCACUCAUCUUGCUGACAGGGGUAGAGCUCUGCUGUACUCUCAGAGUGGUCAAUGAUAUACCUGUGCAAAAAACACAGAGGGGCAGAGCACAUAUACAAACGUCAAUUUUAAACAAAGUAUUAAAACCACGUGAAUAGUAAGAAGGCUGUCACUAAAUCUAUUACCAGCAAAAAAUUUACUCAAACUUUUUUAAUAAUAUUUCUGAUGUAGUGGAUAAUGAAUAAAAUCACUGGAGGAAAGUAGAUGCA
Molecule: long non-coding RNA, 2078 nt
Organism: Micropterus dolomieu (smallmouth bass)
Lineage: Eukaryota; Metazoa; Chordata; Actinopteri; Centrarchiformes; Centrarchidae
Exons: 3
Source: RefSeq, a predicted model, not a curated record